Molecule: ribosomal RNA, 152 nt
Filed under: Cladonia densissima
Lineage: Eukaryota; Fungi; Ascomycota; Lecanoromycetes; Lecanorales; Cladoniaceae
Description: 5.8S ribosomal RNA
Rfam family: 5.8S ribosomal RNA
About the family: 5.8S ribosomal RNA (5.8S rRNA) is a component of the large subunit of the eukaryotic ribosome. It is transcribed by RNA polymerase I as part of the 45S precursor that also contains 18S and 28S rRNA.
Source: RNAcentral
CUUUCAACAACGGAUCUCUUGGUUCUGGCAUCGAUGAAGAACGCAGCGAAAUGCGAUAAGUAAUGUGAAUUGCAGAAUUCAGUGAAUCAUCGAGUCUUUGAACGCACAUUGCGCCCCCUGGUAUUCCGGGGGGCAUGCCUGUUCGAGCGUCA